RNAcentral lists this small nucleolar RNA (115 nucleotides) under Lucilia cuprina (Australian sheep blowfly). The record is from RNAcentral. Lineage: Eukaryota; Metazoa; Arthropoda; Insecta; Diptera; Calliphoridae.
CUCGAGUUUAAAAAGUAUGUAAUGAUGACUUGAGUGCAUUUGGCUCGAGAUGCAGGUCGAAAGAUCUGUGUCGCUGUGGAAAAACACACGCUACCUUAUUUUUUUUUGUCUGACA